GUGCUUGCUUUGGCAGCACAUAUACAAAAAUUGGAACAAUACAGAGAUUAGCAUGGCCCCUGCCCAAGGAUUCCAUGCAAAUUUGUGAAGUGUUCCAUAUUUUU
Callithrix jacchus (white-tufted-ear marmoset) is the source of this 104-nucleotide small nuclear RNA. NCBI's taxonomy places the organism in Eukaryota, Metazoa, Chordata, Mammalia, Primates, Cebidae. The record is from Ensembl.